UAUAAAGUAAGCUAAUUAAAGCUAGUGGGCUCAUACCCCAAAUAUGAUUUAUCCUUUAUAA
RNAcentral lists this transfer RNA (61 nucleotides) under Ornithodoros costalis. RNAcentral's name for it is "tRNA-Met". Lineage: Eukaryota; Metazoa; Arthropoda; Arachnida; Ixodida; Argasidae. The record is from RNAcentral.